RNAcentral lists this ribosomal RNA (89 nucleotides) under Acanthosepion pharaonis. Lineage: Eukaryota; Metazoa; Mollusca; Cephalopoda; Sepiida; Sepiidae. The record is from RNAcentral.
GUUGAAACACCAGUUCCCGUACGAUCACAGAAGUUAAGCAAUGUCGAGCCUAGAUGGGUGACCGCUUGAGAAUACCAGUUGCUGCAUGC